RNAcentral lists this transfer RNA (63 nucleotides) under Rhagophthalminae sp. GENSP01. RNAcentral describes it as "tRNA-Leu". The record is from RNAcentral. Lineage: Eukaryota; Metazoa; Arthropoda; Insecta; Coleoptera; Rhagophthalmidae.
UCUAAUAUGGCAGAAUAGUGCAAUGAAUUUAAGAUUCAUACAUAAAGUUAGCUUUUUUUAGAA